CCUACGGGAGGCAGCAGUGGGGAAUAUUGGACAAUGGGGGGAACCCUGGUCCAGCGACGCCGCGUGAGUGAAGAAGUAUUUCGGUAUGUAAAGCUCUAUCAGCAGGGAAGAAAGAAAUGACGGUACCUGACUAAGAAGCCCCGGCUAACUACGUGCCAGCAGCCGCGGUAAUACGUAGGGGGCAAGCGUUAUCCGGAUUUACUGGGUGUAAAGGGAGCGUAGACGGCGAUGCAAGUCUGAAGUGAAAGGCGGGGGCCCAACCCCUGGACUGCUUUGGAAACUGUAUGGCUGGAGUGCAGGAGAGGUAAGUGGAAUUCCUAGUGUAGCGGUGAAAUGCGUAGAUAUUAGGAGGAACACCAGUGGCGAAGGCGGCUUACUGGACUGUAACUGACGUUGAGGCUCGAAAGCGUGGGGAGCAAACAGGAUUAGAUACCCGAGUAGUC
RNAcentral lists this ribosomal RNA (443 nucleotides) under uncultured bacterium. RNAcentral describes it as "partial 16S ribosomal RNA". It matches the Rfam family "Bacterial small subunit ribosomal RNA", at positions 338 to 795 of the family's 1533-position model. The record is from RNAcentral.